UUGAGGGGAGAUGGAACCCUGAGCAGCCCAUGUACACGGAAGAUCUUUAUUGCAGAGAUCUUCAAACCAGGAUCUUCUAAGGGUGUGAGGAUACAGGCGUCAAAGACCCCAUGCUGAGACAGCUCCAUAACAACAUGCAGAUAUUUGGCAAUGAGGGUUCAGAAGAGGACUUGCUGUGGAGAAGAGAGAAAAGAGAUGGGAAGACUCUGUGAAUGAAUAGAGAACACUCUGCAAGCAUCCCAGUUCCUUUGGUUGCCCUGCAGUCUGCAGGUGCCAGGAGAAAUCAGAAGCCACCUGGAAGGGCUGUCUGUCUGUAUGGAGUCAAGGCAGGGUCUUCAAAUCUAUGCUUUCUAAAACAAAGAAAUAACCUUGAUGAAACAAAUUUUCCCCAGAGGAAGGGGAGAGCCCACAGCGAGCUGGUAAAGAAGAUGCCUGGAGCAGGCGGCAUCCUCAAAUGGAAGGCAGUUGCCCUCAAAUCACUUAACUAGGAUGACCUACUUUGCUUUCCUGUAUAGCCAGGUCUGUUAUCAGACCCUUAUCUUGGGAGGCAUCUUGCCAGAGCCCGGGGCAAGAAAAGGCUGAUAUCCAGGAAUGCAGGUGAAAUUAUAGCUAUUAGCCCUGUCUUAGAGUGUGAGGAAAAUAUGCCCUCCUAUCCCUGGCUAAGUUUGGGUUCCCAUGUCAUAAAUUGCCUCCCUCUCUGAUAGCUCUGCAUAAACAUCCCAGGGACUCAAAGUAACAUUUGAUUUCCCAAAGAGAAUAUUUGCAUUUGUAACUGUCAGAAAUAGGAGAGAUCAUCAAAGCUAAAUGAAUUGGGCUAUAAACAGUUUGAAAUAUGUCUUUAAAUUUUAAAAAACAUGUUUUUUGUUUGUUUGUUUUGGGGAGAGAGGAUCAUUUAGACUCAACAACAAAACAGAAAACUGUGAGUGCCAUUUUGAGACAAGACCUACCUGGUCCUUCCCCCUCAUACUUUCUGCUACCCCG
This 981-nucleotide non-coding RNA is filed under the name Pongo abelii (Sumatran orangutan). Lineage: Eukaryota; Metazoa; Chordata; Mammalia; Primates; Hominidae. The record is from RNAcentral.